ACACUACUGACGGGUCCCAAACAGGACGAAACAGCUUUCCGGUGC
Echinostoma caproni is the source of this 45-nucleotide non-coding RNA. The record is from Rfam. NCBI's taxonomy places the organism in Eukaryota, Metazoa, Platyhelminthes, Trematoda, Plagiorchiida, Echinostomatidae.